RNAcentral lists this unclassified non-coding RNA (246 nucleotides) under uncultured Lasiosphaeriaceae. RNAcentral's name for it is "sequence contains ITS2". The stretch from base 1 to 52 matches the Rfam family "5.8S ribosomal RNA", at positions 103 to 154 of the family's 154-position model. The record is from RNAcentral. Lineage: Eukaryota; Fungi; Ascomycota; Sordariomycetes; Sordariales; Lasiosphaeriaceae.
AACGCACAUUGCGCCCGCCAGUAUUCUGGCGGGCAUGCCUGUUCGAGCGUCAUUUCAACCAUCAAGCCCCUGUGCUUGUGUUGGAGCCCUGCGGCUGCCGCAGGCUCCCAAACCCAGUGGCGGGCUCGUCGUCGUACCGAGUGCAGUAAAUUUACCACGCUCAGGGCACGCGACGGGUGACCGGCCGUAAAAACCCCCCUUCUCAAGGUUGACCUCGGAUCAGGUAGGAAUACCCGCUGAACUUAA